CAGAAAAUAGUUUAACUAAAAUACUAACUUUGGAUGUUAAAGAUGUAAAAACUUUUCUGA
This 60-nucleotide transfer RNA is filed under the name Bragasellus molinai. RNAcentral describes it as "transfert RNA-P(CCA)". Lineage: Eukaryota; Metazoa; Arthropoda; Malacostraca; Isopoda; Asellidae. The record is from RNAcentral.